CUUGAGAUCUCUCUUUCUUGUUCUUUCAGAGACUUUUCUUCUUCAUCUAUUUUUAAUUUAUGUUUCUUGUGAUCUUACAUGAGAUCUUGGUUAAUCUUGAAGAACCUUGUACAAUAUAUCUUGCUACAGUAAUUUGGUAGAUUGUAAGGCAUAUAUCUAUUUUGAUUAGGCAAUAGGGUCCUUGGUUUAUUGGUGAUUAAUGUUUGAUUGAGAUCUUUUGGAUUGAUGAUCGGAUCCUGUAUCUGAGUGUGGUCUCUGUCUCUUGGAAGGUUAUUUUGCACAUAAUGAACGGGCCAGCCUCUAAGCCCCUAGAUUAUGCAUUUUUCGCCAAACUGGUGGCUGAAAGCCAUAACUGGUGAUCUUAGCAUCUUGAGCUCAAAUGGGUUUCUUGAAGGUGGUCUAAGUAUUUGAAUUUUAAUAAGUCAACCGUGCAGUGGGAGAGACUAUUCUAAUUUUGACUUUACUCAUAAUAACUAAAAAGCAUGCAUUUGUUGUUCUUAAAGAUUGGGUGAUACGUCAUGGGAAAAUUUUUUAAGAACAAUUUCAUUCUUGUAUAUGAUAUCUGUAUGAGAUGGAAUUGAGGCAUGUUUUAAGUUGGUAAUCUCAAUAUAUUGUAUUAUGCGAUCUUGAGAUUAAUUACUUGUUGA
Long non-coding RNA from Olea europaea var. sylvestris, 647 nucleotides. RefSeq lists it as uncharacterized. The transcript is spliced from 2 exons. NCBI's taxonomy places the organism in Eukaryota, Viridiplantae, Streptophyta, Magnoliopsida, Lamiales, Oleaceae. The record is from RefSeq and is a predicted model, not a curated record.